AAGAGGGAAAGCUGGUAGGUUUCUCUUUCAGAUCCCAAAUUCACUAACUGUGUUAGGGUAGGAUUAUUUUUUAGAUUUCACCCUCGCGCUCGCCUCACUGUCUCUAUCUGCAGCUCUCUCUUCUCCAUAGCUCUCCCUUCGUUUCAUCUCUGUAGUUCCAUGGUCUCUCAAUCUCCUUUCCAGACUUCGUUUCAAAACCAAACUUAAAUACCCAAAAUCUCAGCCACAAUCGCGCCCCUUUGCUCACAUCAAAUCUCACUGUCUCCAUCCACAAAUCGCCCCUUUGAUUUGCCAAACUCUUAUUGUCUCCAUCCACAAAUCGCCAGUUUGCUCUCCCUAACUCUCAUUGUCUGCUCCUCUUUCCUUAUCUCAAUUCCAGAACUAAACCCUAAAAACUCUCAUCCCCAAUUUACAAAAAACUCAAAUUCACCUUACUGUCUCACACUUUUAUUAUCACCUAGGACAAGGCGACAAGUGAUUGAUGAUGAGAACCCCCAAUUUGUUUCGUAUAGUUCGCACCGAAUGGCAAAUACAUUCUUGCACUUUGGAUGAUACUUUGGAACAUCAGUUACUUGAUCUUCUGGCCCUAUUCAUACAAUCAAGGGUUUACUUCUUGAUGGAUUAAUUCAAUUAAUUUAGUUAUGGGUUAAGUGGAAAGCCUUAUGGAGAUACUGGAGUGCAUCCUCAACCAGGGCAGCUGCAUGAGCCUUUGGAAUUGAGGCCAGGAAGGGGAGUUAUCUGCUUUGUGAGUAUCACUCAUCUUGCAGCCCAUUUCUUCUUAAUGCUUUUUAAGGUCAUCUUGAUUCGCAUAUAUUUCCAUUGUUUUGGGUUUCUUUUCAUAUAUAUUUCUACUGUAUUGUGUAGCAGUCUCAAAGAAUAUGCUACCUCGUCAAUUUCAUCCCAUUGGGUGUUGUUUGGUAAUAUUUAAUUUUCUUUUAAACCAGAGAAGUUUCUUAAUAAAUUAUUGCUUAUUUUUCUGAGACCUGAACUUCCUCUGCUCAACUGUUACUCCUCAUUUUCCUAUUAUUUAGGCUCUGAGUUUUUCAAAUUUUAUUUUGAGUUUAGUUCUCUAACUUAGGUUGUGAUGUGUGCAUGUUCUGUUUUAUAAAAUCUAGAUAGACCAAUCUAGAUAGUUCUUUAACUUAAUUUAAAUUGUUUUUCUUACUUCAUUUAACUUUUAAGCAUGCAGAUGCUAGCAUGACUUUUAUUUUUUUUCAAUAGACUGAUUCUCUUCCCACAUAUAGAAUGCUCUCUAGGUAGUUCAACCCACUUGGUGACACUUACUUUGCUUGAGAAAUUUCGUACUUCAUAAUUUACUGAAAAAUUAUUAGCAACAUGAUAGUACUAACAUGUGAAAUGGCUAUAUAGACACAUAAGAAGAUAUUUGUCUAUUUAUAUACUCUUCUUUAUGGAUGAUUCUAGGACUUAUAAGUCUUGUGAAGUACUCGUAAUAUGUGUUUUAACCUGAGUAGGAAUUUAUUUCCAUGCCACAAGAAUUGUCCAUCAAAUUCUCAUAGGUUUGUCAAUAGCACUAGCAUGCACAUAUAGACACUACAAGAACUUUGUUUCUUAAUUUUGUUUCCUAAAGAUUUGUUGGCAUUGUGCAGAUGAAUAACAAGUUCCAUUUUGGAAGCCCAUACAUCAGUUGAUUAAGCUAGUCUCUCUGCCCUCUAUAUCUCCUUUUUUCUUUUUUACAAUUCAUAUUCUACUUUCUGUUUUCAACCAGUAAAAAUUGAUUUUAGACAUGGGCUAGCCAUUGUCUUCUAAAUUAUGUGCAGAAAAUGGUUGCAUUUAUAGAAUACCCAUGGGCUUCAAGUUGCAUUUAUAGAAUACCCAUGGGCUUCAAGUUGCAUUUAUAGAAUACCCAUGGGCUUCUAGUCACUGGUUAGUUGUUGAUUUGGCAUUGUAUAUUACUCUUGGACUAGUUGUUGAUUUGGUUUAGACUUGGUUUAAUUAUCAGAGUGGUUGUUGGUUCACCAAAAAGAUUUGGCUUAGUUUAAUUAUGCUUGGCAUUUGAGGACCCAAUGCUUGCUUUUAUGGUUUAUACAUUUUAUUGAUCGUUUCAUAAUGCUAAUUAUGAACGUUUAGUUUCGUUGUGCAUUUAAGAGUACACAUUUUGCAUAUGUAAUUCGAAAGUUUGUCGCUGAAAUUUCUGAGAAUUUGAAACUAGAUUAAGCACACAUUCCACGAAGUUCGUAUAUUUUCUUCUAGCAAGUCUGUCUAUUAACCCCCCUUAUCUGAAAUUAAUUGUUAAAAGUUCUGAUUCAUCUUUAAUCAUUAUCUUACCCUUGUUGAAUAACACUCCGCUUUCUAAUUUUUAUUUGAAGUUUGAGGUUUCAAUUUCAAUCGUGGGCUCUGAUUUUACAGAUUUUGUUUGUCAAUUCAGUUUGGACAAAGCAUAUGUAACAAGUAUCUUAAAUAUCUAAGAAUGUGUAUGUUUAACUAUGACGUUAGAGUGAGGACUUAACAGAUUGAUGUGAUUAGUGCGGCUCAUACCACAAAGGCAAUUUUAUGCUCAUCAAGUGCUAAGGAAUGUCAAGCUUCCAAGUGACAAGUUCUACAUAGUUUGAGACUUACUGGAUAUUAGAUAAUUUGGUUCAUUUCCAUUUGUUUAUAUGUUUUUAAUAUCAUUUGCCUAUAUAGUUGACAUGUUAUAACAUUUUUGUAGUGCUGAAUAUUUAUAUAUAUAUAUAUAUAAUUUAUUUUA
Prunus avium (sweet cherry) is the source of this 2707-nucleotide long non-coding RNA. RefSeq lists it as uncharacterized. The record is from RefSeq and is a predicted model, not a curated record. NCBI's taxonomy places the organism in Eukaryota, Viridiplantae, Streptophyta, Magnoliopsida, Rosales, Rosaceae.